RNAcentral lists this ribosomal RNA (1327 nucleotides) under uncultured bacterium. RNAcentral's name for it is "bacterial SSU rRNA". It matches the Rfam family "Bacterial small subunit ribosomal RNA", at positions 39 to 1387 of the family's 1533-position model. The record is from RNAcentral.
GCGGCGCGCCUAACACAUGCAAGUCGAACGAGAGAUGAGGAGCUUGCUCUUCAAAUCGAGUGGCGAACGGGUGAGUAACGCGUGAGGAACCUGCCUCAAAGAGGGGGACAACAGUUGGAAACGACUGCUAAUACCGCAUAAGCCCACGGCUCGGCAUCGAGCAGAGGGAAAAGGAGCAAUCCGCUUUGAGAUGGCCUCGCGUCCGAUUAGCUAGUUGGUGAGGUAACGGCCCACCAAGGCGACGAUCGGUAGCCGGACUGAGAGGUUGAACGGCCACAUUGGGACUGAGACACGGCCCAGACUCCUACGGGAGGCAGCAGUGGGGAAUAUUGCACAAUGGGGGAAACCCUGAUGCAGCGACGCCGCGUGGAGGAAGAAGGUCUUCGGAUUGUAAACUCCUGUUGUUGAGGAAGAUAAUGACGGUACUCAACAAGGAAGUGACGGCUAACUACGUGCCAGCAGCCGCGGUAAAACGUAGGUCACAAGCGUUGUCCGGAAUUACUGGGUGUAAAGGGAGCGCAGGCGGGAGAACAAGUUGGAAGUGAAAUCCAUGGGCUCAACCCAUGAACUGCUUUCAAAACUGUUUUUCUUGAGUAGUGCAGAGGUAGGCGGAAUUCCCGGUGUAGCGGUGGAAUGCGUAGAUAUCGGGAGGAACACCAGUGGCGAAGGCGGCCUACUGGGCACCAACUGACGCUGAGGCUCGAAAGUGUGGGUAGCAAACAGGAUUAGAUACCCUGGUAGUCCACACCGUAAACGAUGAUUACUAGGUGUUGGAGGAUUGACCCCUUCAGUGCCGCAGUUAACACAAUAAGUAAUCCACCUGGGGAGUACGACCGCAAGGUUGAAACUCAAAGGAAUUGACGGGGGCCCGCACAAGCAGUGGAGUAUGUGGUUUAAUUCGACGCAACGCGAAGAACCUUACCAAGUCUUGACAUCCCUUGACGAUGCUGGAAACAGUAUUUCUCUUCGGAGCAAGGAGACAGGUGGUGCAUGGUUGUCGUCAGCUCGUGUCGUGAGAUGUUGGGUUAAGUCCCGCAACGAGCGCAACCCUUAUGGUCAGUUACUACGCAAGAGGACUCUGGCCAGACUGCCGUUGACAAAACGGAGGAAGGUGGGGAUGACGUCAAAUCAUCAUGCCCUUUAUGACUUGGGCUACACACGUACUACAAUGGCGUUAAACAAAGAGAAGCAAGACCGCGAGGUGGAGCAAAACUCAGAAACAACGUCCCAGUUCGGACUGCAGGCUGCAACUCGCCUGCACGAAGUCGGAAUUGCUAGUAAUCGUGGAUCAGCAUGCCACGGUGAAUACGUUCCCAGGCCGUGCACA